CACCGCGGUUAUACGAGAGACCCAAGUUGACAGAUCACCGGCGUAAAGCGUGGUUAGUUAAAUUAUAAACUAAAGUUGAAUGCUCUCAAAGCUGUUAUACGUGCUUGGGAACCAGAAAGCCCCCCACGAAAGUGACUUUAUUUUACUGAACCCACGAAAGCUAAGACA
This 168-nucleotide ribosomal RNA is filed under the name Blenniella sp. MOH-040. RNAcentral's name for it is "partial small subunit ribosomal RNA". The record is from RNAcentral. Lineage: Eukaryota; Metazoa; Chordata; Actinopteri; Blenniiformes; Blenniidae.